Molecule: long non-coding RNA, 1146 nt
Organism: Xiphophorus couchianus (Monterrey platyfish)
Lineage: Eukaryota; Metazoa; Chordata; Actinopteri; Cyprinodontiformes; Poeciliidae
Exons: 5
Source: RefSeq, a predicted model, not a curated record
UCCCGCGCCAUUUGCGUGCACGCGCGUGAGAGGGGACCAGGCACGCAACCGUUAGGAGACUGUCUGGAGUCUGUCUCAAAUUGAUAAAUUUGGAAAUGGAGUUUUACGGGUCUCUGUGCAUCUACAAGGAAGCCGCCUGCUGGGAAAUUUGGAUCUUUGCGCUCCUCCUCAGACGUCGCUUCACCUUGAGUCGCCACGCUUUUGACGAAAUGUUUAUUUUUCUUCUUUAGAAAACAAAAAACCCAAAGUUUUUUUCCCCCUCUUCUGCAGUCCAUCAGCAGGCAGACAGCUCCUUGUGCCCAGGGAAUUGUUCCUCACCCAUGGAGUUCAAGAUGAGUGCAUCAUGCACGAGGCAGCCUAUAAAAGCACAUAAAGCUGCUGACAUUGACAGUUAUGAUUUCCUGUCAACAAAUGUGCAGAGAGAGCUGUGCUGGUGGACUAGGAGGAAGAUGUCACACUAAGGAUGGGGUUUUUUGGCGAUGAUGUUGGUGCUGUUGAUGCAGCAUCGAGCUCUCACUUUGUGCCUCUGUCAGCUAUGAUCCGUAACCAUAAAGUGAGUGACAGGCCAUUCUCCGGGGGGAAAGCAGAGGUCUGAGAAGCUCAGGCUCCUUUCAGAGGCAGCGAAGAAGACUGACCGUCUCGAAGACAGUGCUGGGAGCAGCCCCCAAUCUGCUCCAACGCUAGUCGCUGGCCGUUAGACAUGGCGUUCAAAGACUAGCGGUGCAAGUAUGGAAAUGCAGAUAAGGCAUUGUUGAGGAAACAUGCCUGGGAAUUGUUCAAGGUUUUCACUUGCAUAAUGUUUGGAUGUUUUUUUGUUGUUUUUUUUGCAAAUGUUUUAAUCUGGAAACUAAUGAAUGUGAUUUUGAUUAGAUUUCAUGGAGAUUUCUUAUGUUUACACAUACAUUUGUGAACAUGUAAUGUAUUUUUUUGAGUAAACCAACAUAAUAAAGGUUUUAUGUAUGUAUACUCACUAGACGACUACAAAAAGAGCCAGAAACCUACUCAUGUAUAAUCUCCAAGGUUUUAUUUACUCUUUUCCGGCUUUUCAGGAGGCAGUUAAUUACACAAUUAAUACAUGAUACAAAUUAUGUACAUUUAUACCAAAGAAUACUUCCAACAUAAAAUAAAAAAUAGCAUUGUAUUCUA